UGUGUGUGUGUGUGUGUGUGUGUGUGUGUGUGUGUGUACACACACACACACACACACCAACCAUAUU
This 67-nucleotide microRNA precursor is filed under the name Podarcis lilfordi (Lilford's wall lizard). Lineage: Eukaryota; Metazoa; Chordata; Lepidosauria; Squamata; Lacertidae. The record is from RNAcentral.